GUCGAAGGAUGCAAGCGUUAUCCGGAUUCAUUGGGUUUAAAGGGAGCGUAGGCGGCCUUAUAAGUCAGUGGUGAAAUCUCUCGGCUUAACCGAGAAAUUGCCAUUGAUACUGUAGGGCUUGAGUACAGUUGCCGUUGGCGGAAUAUGACAUGUAGUGGUGAAAUACAUAGAGAUGUCAUAGAACACCGAUUGCGAAGGCAGCUAACGAAGCUGUAACUGACGCUGAGGCUCGAAAGUGCGGGGAUCAAACAGG
This 253-nucleotide ribosomal RNA is filed under the name uncultured bacterium. RNAcentral's name for it is "partial 16S ribosomal RNA". It matches the Rfam family "Bacterial small subunit ribosomal RNA", at positions 524 to 776 of the family's 1533-position model. The record is from RNAcentral.